CACAGGGGAGGGGGCAGGUGUGAUGGGCACAGGGGAGGGGCUGAUGUGAUAGGCACAGUGGAGAAGCUGGUGUGAUGGGCACGGGAGGGGCUGGUGUAAUGGCUACAGGGGAAGGGCAGGUGUAAUCGGCACAGAAGAGAAGCUGGUGUGAUGGGCACAGAGGAGGGGCUGGUGUGAUGGGCACAGGGGAGGGACUGCUGUGAUGGGCACAGGGGAGGGUCAGGUGUGAUGGGCAUAGGGGAGGGGCUGGUGUGACAGGCACAGGGAAGGGGGUCAUGUGUGAUGGCAUGGGGAAGGGGACAGGUGUGAUAGGUACAGGGGAGGGGCUGGUGUAAUGGGCACAGGGGAGGAACUGCUGUGAUAGGCACAGGGGAGUGGGCAGGUGAGAUGGGUACAGGGGAGGGGCAGGUGUGAUGGCUACAGUGGAGGGGACAGGUGUGAUGGGCACAGGGGAGGGGCUGGUGUGAUGGACACAGGGUAGGGGCUGGUGUGAUGGGUACAGGGGAG
This 507-nucleotide long non-coding RNA is filed under the name Homo sapiens (human). Its description in RNAcentral is "non-protein coding lnc-VSTM2B-10:1". The record is from RNAcentral. Lineage: Eukaryota; Metazoa; Chordata; Mammalia; Primates; Hominidae.